AUGGCGGAAGCCCUUGCUCUCAAGUUUGGUUUAACUCUAGCGCAAAGGGCGGGAUGUAAUCGCCUUGUUAUUAACUCAGAUAAUCUGGAGGUAAUUUAUACUAUGCAGAAUGGAGGACAAUCAGCGGCAGCAAUAUUCGACGAUUGUUUUCAUUAUGCUUGUGAUUUUAGUAUUACUAGAUUCGAACAUUGUAAUAGAGAAGCAAAUAAAGUAGCUCAUGAGCUUGCUAAAUUAGCUAGAUUUUUGACUUAUGUCUGGUUUGAGGAACCUGUAGAUGAGAUUGUAAUGAUCCUCAUGAACGAUGUACUUCUUAUAUCUAAUGAAUAA
RNAcentral lists this ribosomal RNA (327 nucleotides) under Triticum aestivum (bread wheat). RNAcentral describes it as "partial small subunit ribosomal RNA". The record is from RNAcentral. Lineage: Eukaryota; Viridiplantae; Streptophyta; Magnoliopsida; Poales; Poaceae.